RNAcentral lists this ribosomal RNA (245 nucleotides) under uncultured Eubacteriales bacterium. Its description in RNAcentral is "uncultured Clostridiales bacterium partial 16S ribosomal RNA". It matches the Rfam family "Bacterial small subunit ribosomal RNA", at positions 524 to 769 of the family's 1533-position model. The record is from RNAcentral. Lineage: Bacteria; Bacillati; Bacillota; Clostridia; Eubacteriales.
UACGUAGGGAGCGAGCGUUAUCCGGAUUUAUUGGGUGUAAAGGGUGCGUAGGCGGUUUGAUAAGUCUGUGAUCUAAGCCCGAAGCUUAACUUCGGUUCGUUGCAGAAACUGUCUUACUUGAGCAUGGUAGAGGCAAGUGGAAUUUCUAGUGUAGCGGUUAAAUGCGUAGAUAUUAGAAGGAACACCAGUGGCGAAGGCGACUUGCUGGGCCAUUGCUGACGCUGAGGCACGAAAGCGUGGGGAGC